RNAcentral lists this ribosomal RNA (1801 nucleotides) under Rhipicephalus microplus (southern cattle tick). Its description in RNAcentral is "SSU rRNA". It matches the Rfam family "Eukaryotic small subunit ribosomal RNA". Lineage: Eukaryota; Metazoa; Arthropoda; Arachnida; Ixodida; Ixodidae. The record is from RNAcentral.
CCUGGUUGAUCCUGCCAGUAAUCAUAUGCUUGUCUCAAAGAUUAAGCCAUGCAUGUCUAAGUACAUGCCGAAAUAAGGCGAAACCGCGAAUGGCUCAUUAAAUCAGUUAUGGUUCCUUAGAUCGUUUCUUCCUACUUGGAUAACUGUGGCAAUUCUAGAGCUAAUACAUGCAGUGAGCCUGGAGCCCUUUGGGUAACGGGUGCUUUUAUUAGACCAAGAUCGAUCGGGUUUCGGCCCGUAUUGUGUGGUGACUCUGGAUAACUUUGUGCUGAUCGCAUGGCCACGAGCCGGCGACGUUUCUUUCAAGUGUCUGCCUUAUCAACUUUCGAUGGUAGGUUACUUGCUUACCAUGGUUGUUACGGGUAACGGAGAAUCAGGGUUCGAUUCCGGAGAGGGAGCCUGAGAAACGGCUACCACAUCCAAGGAAGGCAGCAGGCGCGCAAAUUACCCACUCCCGGCACGGGGAGGUAGUGACGAAAAAUAACAAUACGGGACUCUUUUGAGGCCCCGUAAUUGAAAUGAGUACACUCUAAAUCCUUUAACGAGGAUCAAUUGGAGGGCAAGUCUGGUGCCAGCAGCCGCGGUAAUUCCAGCUCCAAUAGCGUAUACUAAAGCUGCUGCGGUUAAAAAGCUCGUAGUUGGAUCUCAGUUCCAGACGAGUAGUGCAUCUACCCGAUGCGACGGCUCGGACUGAACAUCAUGCCGGUUCUUUCUUGGUGCACUUCAUUGUGUGCCUCGAGAUGGCCGGUGCUUUUACUUUGAAAAAAUUAGAGUGCUCAACGCAGGCGAGUCGCCUGAAUAAACUUGCAUGGAAUAAUAGAACAAGACCUCGUUUCUGUUCUGUUGGUUUUUGGAAUACGAGGUAAUGAUUAAGAGGGACGGACGGGGGCAUUCGUAUUGCGGCGCUAGAGGUGAAAUUCUUGGACCGUCGCAAGACGAACUACUGCGAAAGCAUUUGCCAAGAAUGUUUUCAUUGAUCAAGAACGAAAGUCAGAGGUUCGAAGGCGAUCAGAUACCGCCCUAGUUCUGACCAUAAACGAUGCCAACCAGCGAUCCGCCUGAGUUACUCAAAUGACUCGGCGGGCAGCUUCCGGGAAACCAAAGUAUUUGGGUUCCGGGGGAAGUAUGGUUGCAAAGCUGAAACUUAAAGGAAUUGACGGAAGGGCACCACCAGGAGUGGAGCCUGCGGCUUAAUUUGACUCAACACGGGAAAACUUACCCGGCCCGGACACUGGGAGGAUUGACAGAGAGCUCUUUCUUGAUUCGGUGGAUGGUGGUGCAUGGCCGUUCUUAGUUGGUGGAGCGAUUUGUCUGGUUAAUUCCGAUAACGAACGAGACUCUAGCCUAUUAAAUAGGUGCGGGGUUCCCAGCACCUUACAACCUUCUUAGAGGGACAAGCGGCUCCUAGCCGCACGAAACAGAGCAAUAACAGGUCUGUGAUGCCCUUAGAUGUCCGGGGCCGCACGCGCGCUACACUGAAGGAAGCAGCGUGUCUUUAUCCCUGUCUGAAAAGACUGGGUAACCCGUGGAACUUCUUUCGUGAUUGGGAUAGGGGCUUGCAAUUGUUCCCCUUGAACGAGGAAUUCCCAGUAAGCGCGAGUCAUAAGCUCGCGUUGAUUACGUCCCUGCCCUUUGUACACACCGCCCGUCGCUACUACCGAUUGAAUGAUUUAGUGAGGUCUUCGGACCGAUGUCCGGCGCGGCCUUUCGGUUGCGCCGGUCUGUUGGAAAGAUGACCAAACUUGAUCAUUUAGAGGAAGUAAAAGUCGUAACAAGGUUUCCGUAGGUGAACCUGCGGAAG